AGAGUUUGAUCCUGGCUCAGAUUGAACGCUGGCGGCAGGCCUAACACAUGCAAGUCGAACGGUAACAGGGAGCAGCUUGCUGCUUCGCUGACGAGUGGCGGACGGGUGAGUAAUGUCUGGGAAACUGCCUGAUGGAGGGGGAUAACUACUGGAAACGGUAGCUAAUACCGCAUAACGUCUUCGGACCAAAGUGGGGGACCUUCGGGCCUCAUGCCAUCAGAUGUGCCCAGAUGGGAUUAGCUAGUAGGUGGGGUAACGGCUCACCUAGGCGACGAUCCCUAGCUGGUCUGAGAGGAUGACCAGCCACACUGGAACUGAGACACGGUCCAGACUCCUACGGGAGGCAGCAGUGGGGAAUAUUGCACAAUGGGCGCAAGCCUGAUGCAGCCAUGCCGCGUGUAUGAAGAAGGCCUUCGGGUUGUAAAGUACUUUCAGCGGGGAGGAAGGUGUUGUGGUUAAUAACCACAGCAAUUGACGUUACCCGCAGAAGAAGCACCGGCUAACUCCGUGCCAGCAGCCGCGGU
This 524-nucleotide ribosomal RNA is filed under the name Cronobacter sakazakii. Its description in RNAcentral is "bacterial SSU rRNA". It matches the Rfam family "Bacterial small subunit ribosomal RNA", at positions 8 to 521 of the family's 1533-position model. The record is from RNAcentral. Lineage: Bacteria; Pseudomonadati; Pseudomonadota; Gammaproteobacteria; Enterobacterales; Enterobacteriaceae.